GACGAACGCUGGCGGCAUGCCUAAUACAUGCAAGUUGAACGAUGAUAUUCUCUGCUUGCAGAGAAUUGAAGAGUAGCGAACGGGUGAGUGACACGUGGGGAACCUGCCCAUGAGAGGGGGAUAACAUUCGGAAACGGUUGCUAAUACCGCAUAAUGCUUUGGACCGCCUGGUCCAGAGACGAAAGACGGCUUUUGCUGUCACUCAUGGAUGGCCCCGCGCCGUAUUAGCUUGUUGGUGAGGUAAUGGCUCCCCAAAGAUGUGAUACGUAGCCGACCGGAGAGGGUGAUCGGCCACACUGGGACUGAGACACGGCCCAGACUCCUACGGGAGGCAGCAGUAGGGAAUCUUCCACAUUGGGCGAAAGCCUGAUGGAGCAAUGCCGCGUGAAUGAAGAAGGUCUUCGGAUCGUAAAGUUCUGUUAUUAGAGAAGAACAAGUCAAGGAGUAACUGUCCUGACUUUGACGGUACCUAACCAGAAAGUCACGGCUAACUACGUG
This 498-nucleotide ribosomal RNA is filed under the name uncultured bacterium. RNAcentral describes it as "partial 16S ribosomal RNA". It matches the Rfam family "Bacterial small subunit ribosomal RNA", at positions 28 to 507 of the family's 1533-position model. The record is from RNAcentral.